CAUGGAGCUGUGUCAGGGGAAAGGCAGCUGGGGGUCAGGGAAAGGGUCUGCACCACAGGGCGGGGGGCAUGGAAUGCGCUGCCCAAGGCUGUGGGAACGGCCCCAAGUGACGGAGUUCAAGGAGCAUCUCAGACAUACAGUCUGAUUUUUGGGUGGUCCUGUGUUGAGCCAGAGGUUGGACACAAUAAUCCUUGUGGGUCCUUUUCAGCUCAGGAUUUUCUAUAUUUCCAUGAUUCUCUAUGUGCUUUUAACUUCUUUCCCUGUGGCUCUGCUCCAAGCUGGAACCCCAGCAGCCCAGUUUUUGAAGGGCUUCCUCUUGAUGAACACCACAUGAGCAAACCUGGCCUCCAAAGCUGACUGGGGAAGGGAAGGGCAGCACUUGGGGUAUGUUUGCUUACCACAUGUCUUCAGACAGAAAGGAUGACAGACAGAGUGCAUGUCUUUCCUUGGGAAACACAUGAUGUGGAUAACAUGCAUGUUGUCUGGUCUACUGCUCUCCUGCUCUCUGAUUGCUUUGAGACAAAGUUUCUCUGGGCAGGCAGAAACCUGAGCGAGCUGAGAACUGCAAUAGGCAAAAUGGACCUUGUCCUGAAAAGAGAGCUCUUACAGGCUUUUAGGAACAGAAAUCACCCAAAACAUGCUGGUUUUGGAACAUGGGGUAGACCAAGACAUUUGGAUUGACUGUUUCUAGUAAAGAUAUGAGAGUGCUUUUUAAGAGCAAAGAGGCAAGGGAUACGGGUAACCAAACAUUUCAUUUAAAUGGUGUCCGUGAAGAACAAUUUGCAAAGUGCCUCAGGGACAGGUCAGAUUUGCAAAAUACUUAUCCUCCUUGUUCAUGAAGAACAAGAAAAAUGAUGUAUUGGAUGUGUUUAGGGCUAUUUUUGUAUGUUUCUUUUGGUUUUGCUUGCUUUGAUUUGCUUAUUUCUCAUCUCUGUGUCCUUCGAAGAAAGUUUUUCCUGUUUUGAGCUAUCUCAGCAGAGAAAGCAGGAUUUCCUAGGUCUCCUUAGCUGUCACAAAUUCUGCCCAGAGCAGCUUUCCCACUUUCCUGUACAAAAGGCAGAGCCAGAAGCCUCUAGGUAGAGCAGACAGGCUAGCAGGCAAAGCCAGGUUUUGUCCAGGCACCUCUCCAUUUUGAGUGCACUGCCAGGCAUGAGACCAGCACAAUAACCUUCUUCCACUCCUAUAGCCAUGCUGGGGGUCCUCCCAUUGCUCACUGUUCCCUUUUGGUCCAGGUAAUCAACCAUUCCCAUGCCUUGCAGUUAGGAUCCUCGGUAGGCCUUGGCUGUAAAACAAACAGGUAAUUUUAUUGUACACAGCCUCAUGCAAAGUUAUUUUACCAUCUGUUUGCAGGGACCAUAUGGGGAAGGGAGAAUUUAAAUGUCAGAGAAUUAUAAGAGGAGUAAGUUUGUGUGUCUUUUAAAGGUAAGAGAGCAGAUAAAGAAAGGAAGGACAGCAGAAGGCUGCAGAAUAUGAUCAAGUCCAUUGAGAAACAUAUGCAGAUGAGAGAAAAAGAGAAAUUCAUACUGGAAACUGGAUGGGCAAAGUAUCAGUUGCAGAGCAGACAUGGUUAGUAUUUAUGACUGCCAGGUGCAUGUGGCUCAGUUCUUCAGGGUGAUGCCUUCCCACUUCAUAAAAUGAUUUGGAUUGGAAGGGACCCCAAGAAGCAACAGGUUCUAACCCCCCACUACAUCCGAGACAGAUGUUGGUUAAGGAUGGUUCCUUGUAUACACAUCUGUGCUAUUGUAUGUCAGUCACAAGAUCUGCCAGGGUUGUGUAAGCAUGUGGUGAGCUCUUCUGGCAUUGGAUUUUCUGCGUACAGAUCAUUGCCAAGUAUUUCAGCAAGAAUGAGGACUCUACACUUUGACAGACUGUUCCCCAUUGCUCACACAUAUGGUUCCAAAAUCAUCUGCACAGAUUGUUUUCCUCCUUUGACAAAGCCAAGUUUCAUUAUAUCAUGGUACUGGUAAAUUUUCAGAAGAAGAUUGUUUUAAAAAUAAAUCUCAAUGCUCUUUAUUCACCAGUCUGUUUUGAAGAGAAUCUUAAACUUCUUCCUGAGGUUUUCUUGUUUGUUUCAGCUAGAAUUUACUAUACAGCAUAACAGCAAAGAGCACAAGUGUUAUCAUAAAAACCUUUUUAUUAGUAAACUUUGUGACCUGCACUGGCAAAACUCCCAUACCUAAAUUCCACCCUAUUACCCAGCAGUAGGUGCGACCAGCCAGUGACGUUAGUUUUGCAUUUUGAGGCUUAAAAAAAACCCCAAACAAAACCAACAUUUAAUAAUUUGCAGAUGUUGGCAGCCUGCAGUGAUGCCUGAGUUGAAGCUCUCUUUGGGUGCCAAACCACAAAUAUAUAUCAUUUUUUAUAAUCUACAAUUCCUGGAACUGAAAGAGGCUUCAAAACAAUCAAUAUGUAAACAUGAAUAUAGAGCGUUACUUUCUGAACAUCACCAGUGCUGCUACUGCCACGAGCUGCCUGCUCAGUACAGAUGGUUUUUUCUUAUUAACGAUGUCUUUCUUCAAAACAAGUUUGCUUUUUACCUUCUGUUUAGAGGUACAGGCGUGCAGGGCUUGUACAACCCCUUCAAGAAAAGGAAAGGUAUUUACAGUUUCAGAAAUUAGUAAGGCAUUAAGAAAUGCAGAAUGUUUAAACCAGAAGAAGGAAUGAUAUACAUUUCCCUAUAUGCUUUCUACUUGACAUUACCAUGUUCAAUAGCCUUGAAACCUGAAGUUUACUUUUUAUGCUUUGAACCAAUGUGGCCCUUUAACCUCCACUCCCCUCCUCUGUUGUUAUAUUCUAAACUGAAGGGAUCACCUUUGAAAACGAGCUUUCCUUUCACUUCAAGGUCAUGCAGCAGUGGCCAUGAAACUUGCUUUGAGAGGUAUUUUGGGUGCUUUUUAACAAAUUUGAUCACUGGGAAAUAACUGAUAUCAUCACUUUGCUACACCAAGGACUGACAAGUUGUGGUCAGAUGCAAAUGACUUGCAUCGGGGUUGAGGUUCCAAUAUGAAGUAAGGGUGUUUGUUGUCAGACAGUGUCUAGGACACCAGUCACAAACUGGGAAACCACAAGAUGAGGUUUUAUAUAUACAUCUUGAAGAGAUGCAUCUUUCCCCAAAAAAGCGUGAUAAAAAUGCAAGACAGAAGCUGAUGGAUGAAAAAGAGAGAUGAGGGUGGAAUAGGGAUGCAACAAAACUGUGCUAGUCAAAAGGAUAUUCAGUGUUCUCAACUCACCUAGCAUUAAUUUUAUAUUCAUUUCUGUACUUAUUUUUGUAGCCCUCCUGAUAGAGAAGAUUUUAAGAAAAGCUUAAUAGAUAGUGAAGCUCCUGGAAGUCUCUUUGCAGUUGCAGAAAAUGUGCCCUGAAGCUUGAGUGAAAUUUUGAAGAAGUCCCCGAAUUGCUUGUUCAUAAUGCAGCAAGCUGAAAUGGAAGAGACUCUGCUGUCCUAACAUACUGUAAGCCUGUGUCCUAACUGGAAGCCUGUGAAAAAUGAGAGAUAAUGGUGACAAGCUGCUGAUGGUUAGAUUUGUCAGGGAACGUGGGAGGGACUCACCAGAUCUCAGCAAGCUAAGGGGGGCUGUGGUCAUACUAUUUAAAUCCCAAAUUAUAUAAAAAUGGUGGAGAAGCCAGAUGAAAAAUGGAUGCUAUACAACAAGGUCUAAUGGAAAGAAUCAUGGCUAUGGCAGUGGAUUAAAGGCAGGGAGGAGCUCAGAGUGAGCCCCAAUAGAAUACAAGUAGUCAGUGAUGAGGAUGGAAACUGCAAAAAUACAUGUGCAUAGUGACUGGGUGUGAAGACAAAGAUUAAAAGAUUAUACAUAGAGAAACUGGAAAAUCAAUGGAAAGCAAGGGAAGAAGAUAGGAAAGAGCAAAGUGAAGAAAGCAGCCUUUCGGGUGAGUGGGAGAGUGUAGCUUGACUGCUGGUGUGAUGUUAAUGAGAGAUGAAGGAGACUGAAGAAGGGAGGUAGACAGAGGGACAGGAAUAGUGCAUGAGUGAAGGACAAAGAAGUGAGGACAUAGCCUCAGGAAUGAAGGUGAAAGCUGGGCGAGAUGGGAGUGGCAAGUGUGCAGAGCUGCAUACCUGCAGUGGUAAUGAGGAGAGACUUGUGGAUGAAUGGGCUCUAGUAAGAAAUGUGCCAGGUACAGUCCUGCAGAGCCUCCCAUAGAAGCAGCCCUUCUCUGCCCUCCUUCCAGUAGUGCCAGAUGCUGCUGCUGGAGACUGCAGGACUCUUCACCUUUUGAAUUGAAACUACAGAUGUUUCUCCUCAGGGUAGAACUGGGGACUUUCGUGUUUUAGGAAGAGAAACUAGAGCCAGCUAUUUAAAUUUUGUGCAUGUCUCAAGAGACCUGUAUCUUUGUGUAUUAACUUGAGAUGAAACAGUGCAUGUGUUUGAGCAAGAGGCCGUAAAGGCUUUCUGGGUAAAUACUACAUAGUUUAUGAUCAGUUUCAAUGGCAGCAGUGUUCUCCUCCAGCUGGUGAGUGAAGGCAGCCCUCUGUACCGGGUUCAUUGCCUGGAAUUUGCUGGCACCUGAAGCAACCUUUAUUUGGCUGUACUCAAAAGCUGAGCAACAUCCCCCAGGGUGGAGAGAGCUGGCUGGGACACCCAGAGGGUGACACUUCCUUGGCAGGUCUUCCGCACAGCCUUUGCCACCAGGGCUGUGGGAAGCUGGAAGAACCAUCAGCUCUUCUCUUCUGCCCUACUGACAGGGAAGAGGGGUCACCUCAUUUCUGGAAGGCCAAGGACUGCUUACCAACCAGGCAUUGCUGUGCCAUGCUUACCUUGGAUGGCUUUGAAAGAACAAGUAACCCAAGAUUGAAUCCAUUUCAUAGAAUUGUAGAAUCAUAGAGUCAAAUAUUCGAGUUAGAAGGGGCCCUUAAAGGUCAUUUAUUCCAACUGCCUUGCAGUGAACAGGGACACCUACAGCUACAUCAGGUUGCUCAGACCCCCCUCCAGCCUUACCUUGAGUGUCUGCAGGGAUAGGGCAUCCACCAUCUCUCCGGGCAACCUGUUCCUGUGUUU
Molecule: non-coding RNA, 5013 nt
Organism: Meleagris gallopavo (turkey)
Lineage: Eukaryota; Metazoa; Chordata; Aves; Galliformes; Phasianidae
Source: RefSeq, a predicted model, not a curated record